Molecule: ribosomal RNA, 448 nt
Filed under: uncultured bacterium
Lineage: Bacteria
Description: SSU rRNA
Rfam family: Bacterial small subunit ribosomal RNA
Source: RNAcentral
AGAGCGAACGCUGGCGGCAGGCUUAACACAUGCAAGUCGAGCGGGCGUAGCAAUACGUCAGCGGCAGACGGGUGAGUAACGCGUGGGAACAUACCUUUUGGUUCGGAACAACCCAGGGAAACUUGGGCUAAUACCGGAUAAGCCCUUACGGGGAAAGAUUUAUCGCCAAAAGAUUGGCCCGCGUCUGAUUAGCUAGUUGGUGAGGUAACGGCUCACCAAGGCGACGAUCAGUAGCUGGUCUGAGAGGAUGAUCAGCCACAUUGGGACUGAGACACGGCCCAAACUCCUACGGGAGGCAGCAGUGGGGAAUAUUGGACAAUGGGCGCAAGCCUGAUCCAGCCAUGCCGCGUGAGUGAUGAAGGCCCUAGGGUUGUAAAGCUCUUUUGUGCGGGAAGAUAAUGACGGUACCGCAAGAAUAAGCCCGGACUAACUUCGCGCCAGCAGCCGC